UAGAGUUUGAUCAUGGCUCAGAUUGAACGCUGGCGGCAGGCCUAACACAUGCAAGUCGAGCGGAAACGACACUAACAAUCCUUCGGGUGCGUUAAUGGGCGUCGAGCGGCGGACGGGUGAGUAAUGCCUAGGAAAUUGCCUUGAUGUGGGGGAUAACCAUUGGAAACGAUGGCUAAUACCGCAUAAUGCCUACGGGCCAAAGAGGGGGACCUUCGGGCCUCUCGCGUCAAGAUAUGCCUAGGUGGGAUUAGCUAGUUGGUGAGGUAAUGGCUCACCAAGGCGACGAUCCCUAGCUGGUCUGAGAGGAUGAUCAGCCACACUGGAACUGAGACACGGUCCAGACUCCUACGGGAGGCAGCAGUGGGGAAUAUUGCACAAUGGGCGAAAGCCUGAUGCAGCCAUGCCGCGUAUAUGAAGAAGGCCUUCGGGUUGUAAAGUACUUUCAGUUGUGAGGAAGGGGGUAGCGUUAAUAGCGCUAUCUCUUGACGUUAGCAACAGAAGAAGCACCGGCUAACUCCGUGCCAGCAGCCGCGGUAAUACGGAGGGUGCGAGCGUUAAUCGGAAUUACUGGGCGUAAAGCGCAUGCAGGUGGUUCAUUAAGUCAGAUGUGAAAGCCCGGGGCUCAACCUCGGAACUGCAUUUGAAACUGGUGAACUAGAGUACUGUAGAGGGGGGUAGAAUUUCA
This 685-nucleotide ribosomal RNA is filed under the name uncultured Vibrionaceae bacterium. RNAcentral's name for it is "bacterial SSU rRNA". It matches the Rfam family "Bacterial small subunit ribosomal RNA", at positions 1 to 671 of the family's 1533-position model. Lineage: Bacteria; Pseudomonadati; Pseudomonadota; Gammaproteobacteria; Vibrionales; Vibrionaceae. The record is from RNAcentral.